This is a non-coding RNA of Trichonephila inaurata madagascariensis, 73 nucleotides long. Lineage: Eukaryota; Metazoa; Arthropoda; Arachnida; Araneae; Nephilidae. The record is from the annotation of a GenBank genome assembly.
GGUUCGGUAGGGUAGUGGUUAUCACGUUCGCUUCCCACGCAAAAAGGUUCCGGUUCGAUCCCGGACGGAACCA